RNAcentral lists this ribosomal RNA (447 nucleotides) under uncultured bacterium. RNAcentral's name for it is "bacterial SSU rRNA". It matches the Rfam family "Bacterial small subunit ribosomal RNA", at positions 355 to 825 of the family's 1533-position model. The record is from RNAcentral.
UGGGGAAUAUUGGACAAUGGGCGAAAGCCUGACGCAGCCAUGCCGCGUGAAUGAUGAAGGUCUUAGGAUUGUAAAAUUCUUUCACCGGGGACGAUAAUGACGGUACCCGGAGAAGAAGCCCCGGCUAACUUCGUGCCAGCAGCCGCGGUAAUACGAAGGGGGCUAGCGUUGCUCGGAAUUACUGGGCGUAAAGGGCGCGUAGGCGGACAUUUAAGUCAGGGGUGAAAUCCCAGAGCUCAACUCUGGAACUGCCUUUGAUACUGGGUGUCUUGAGUGUGAGAGAGGUAUGUGGAACUCCGAGUGUAGAGGUGAAAUUCGUAGAUAUUCGGAAGAACACCAGUGGCGAAGGCGACAUACUGGCUCAUUACUGACGCUGAAGCGCGAAAGCGUGGGGAGCAAACAGGAUUAGAUACCCCAGUAGUCCCUGAGCGGGCUGGCAAGGCGCAU